GUUUCGGUGGUCAUAGCUGUUC
Molecule: ribosomal RNA, 22 nt
Filed under: Streptomyces galbus
Lineage: Bacteria; Bacillati; Actinomycetota; Actinomycetes; Kitasatosporales; Streptomycetaceae
Source: RNAcentral